This is a long non-coding RNA of Mya arenaria, 1059 nucleotides long. RefSeq lists it as uncharacterized. NCBI's taxonomy places the organism in Eukaryota, Metazoa, Mollusca, Bivalvia, Myida, Myidae. The record is from RefSeq and is a predicted model, not a curated record. The transcript is spliced from 3 exons.
ACGCCAUAUAGUUUCAAGUUAAAGAAAAGUUGUCGUUGAAAAAUGCUUACUUUAUCGUUAUCACGGAUGUUUUGGAUGAAUAACAUCGGUUGCUCGGGCUAACUUCAUUCAUUUGCAUAAAAUGUCUGCGACUGAUGAGUACUGUUGCUAGGCGUUACAAAGAGAGAAGUUCCGGAAGAGCUGCCUACAAAAGAAAGAAACCCAGCAACUGGUACUCGCCGGUCCAAAAAAACCAACGAUCGGAGAGGACAGCUGAAAAGUUCUAGCGAAACAGAAAGAAUGGGUGACAAAACAAGUGAGCAAACUGACAAAGCCGCAACUUCAGGCAGCAAUUAGUGUGCCAGAGAGUGUGACAAAGCCAGUGCGUGUGCUGCUUGUUUUAGCAGCCCCGGGCAAUCAACCUGGAGAUGGUGCCCACGAGACCGAGAAAAGGAUUAAACUCCACGCUGGUAUGUGUGCGGCAACUGCCGGGACAUGCCAACACAAAGAGAAAGAGUUUUUGGGAAGUUCGUCUUUCUUAUACUGCUUUUAAAAUCUUAUCGAAACUAAAAUUCAACAUGUAUCUAAGACACUAGUGUAAACGUUAAGUAAAGUAGUUAUAGAUAAACAAUUUUAUUAAAUGUCAUGUGUCAUUAGAAAAUAAUUGUACAUUAUUUAAUACUGCUGGUCAGUUCUUGAGAUAUUUACUGAGAAAUGGAUACCUUAUAACUCAUUUUCUACUGAUUACUGCUAACGUAGUCUUGUGAAGUUUCAAAGAACAGCAUUCUGAGUAUCAUCAUAGGGCUUUAAAUAUCUUAACAUGCAUGUAGUCACACACAGAUAGAACAAAUUGAAUUGGACGAUAUGAAAUAUGGGCAGUUUUCUUGUAUUAAACAGUUGUAAGAUAUUUUAAAUGCUGGCACAGUUUGUCUCUAUACCAAGUAAUUAAAAAUACCGAUACUAUUGUUAAGGUGAGUACUGAGUAUUGCUGAGUACUUGCUUGAAAAUUUGUACUGAAGUAAGAAUGAUGUUAAUUAGCUCAUCCCUGAAUAUUUCUUAUUUAAAAUCUUAGCCUAAGUA